GAGUUCCCAGCACGCUUCCUCUAGCACAACCACAGCUAUGCACCAAUCCUCCUGGGUUCAGAGAUGGAACUUGGGUUAAAUGCAUGGAAUUUAUUCUUAGUCCUUUUCUUAAUUACGACUUUUUAUUUCUCUGGUGUUCUCUAGGGGAGGGGUUAGAGAAGAGAGGAAAAGGAAGAAAGAAAGGGGGCAGGGAAAUAUAGAUUCAAUGCUUUUGUUUUGUUUCUGGGCUGCUUGCUAUCAGCAAAGUAGAGAGAUUUAACGGAUCUUGCCGAGAAUGCAAGCCUCAUUCCAAGGAAGCCAGAGCUCAGAAGACAUGGAACAAAUACAAUGAAAACAUAACUUGAGGUCGGAAAAUGUCCCCUGAAUAUUUAUGUCAAUGUCCUACCUUAGUGAAUAUUACUUAAUACUGUGGCUCCUUUAAAGCAUUUAGCACAUUUGUACCAUGAAGAUACUGAGGCUGCCAUCAUGCUCUGUUAUUCUAAGAGAAAGAUCAACAGCAACAACAACAAUAAUAAUUUAAAAAGCAGAGGAAGAAAGUAAUCCAAGAAGACAGACGCAGAGCCUCUAAGAUCAUGAAGGAUGAUUAAAAGAACAAGUUGGGGAUGAAAAUGGGGAAUCAGAAAGCUUAUCAUCAGUGUGAUUUCAUUAUGAAGUCAGAUGGAAUGAGGAGUGUGUAAAUCCAGAAUCAGAAUCCCAGCGACGAAGCUUUUCUUGCUCUGUUACCUUGGAAAAUGCUUUGAACCAGACCAGAUAAGAAAAGUAAAAGUCUGGAGUGUAAUCCUUCCAAUUGUCUUUUGGCUUCUCUUCUACUUCUACAAAAAGUUCAACAAGUCGGUGGGCAGAAGUCUAAAAUCAAGGUGUCAGCAGUGUGGAAUCCUUCUGGAGGCUUUGAGAAAUUAGAAUUUGAAACAACGGAAAGAGAGAAAUUUUAGGUUAGUAGCUAAAUCCCCAAGGAUACUAAUUAGAGAAAGAUGUUGGAAUUGCCUUAAUGAGUCACUGCCAACGCAAGUCCUAAGGAAGCAAAGACUGUGAGUAAGCAAAGGUAGCCAGCUGCUGGGAAGAGGACAAUAGAGGAAAAGGUCAGAGGGACUUUAAAAGACUGACUGUGGGCUCCCUGAGGGAAGGAGGGAUGGAGAGAGUAUCGGGUCCUAUAGAAUACCUUAAUUGUUUUUAUGACUUCUCUUUUCCAUAUCCAGUUCACAUGUACUCCUUUCUGUGCAUUAAAUUGAGUUUCUAUUGGCUUCUUUGUAACAAAAAGAACUGAACAGAAACACAUAUCUAUUGGACAAAGAGCAAUAAAAUGAUAUAAUAACUGUAUCUGAG
This 1323-nucleotide long non-coding RNA is filed under the name Homo sapiens (human). RNAcentral describes it as "HSALNT0354565". The record is from RNAcentral. Lineage: Eukaryota; Metazoa; Chordata; Mammalia; Primates; Hominidae.